CUCUUCUUAAUUCAAGAAAAUCAUAUGCACACACCGUUAUUAAGCAUAAAAAAUGAAUGGACUAAAAUUUGCCUAAUUCACCUAAAACAGUUAUUAUGAUAAUAAAAAUACCUAAUCUGAACAUCUAACUUUUACGCAUAUAGAAAAUAAAAUGAAAAUGAAUAACGGAAAUAGAAUACCUAUGGAAUUGUGAGGAAGAAUUACACUUGACCUAGCCAGCCAUGUGAGCACAUCUCGAUCUUGUGGGUUCACCAUGAACUCCUUAUGAGAGGGAAUCAUGAAGUCGGUUCACAUAAUAACGGCGAUGCGGUN
Molecule: long non-coding RNA, 312 nt
Filed under: Trifolium pratense (red clover)
Lineage: Eukaryota; Viridiplantae; Streptophyta; Magnoliopsida; Fabales; Fabaceae
Description: long non-coding RNA (TPRA_LNC012391)
Source: RNAcentral